AGUGAACGCUGGCGGUAGGCCUAACACAUGCAAGUCGAACGGCAGCACAGGAGAGCUUGCUCUCUGGGUGGCGAGUGUUGGACGGGUGAGGAAUACAUCGGAAUCUACUCUGUCGUGGGGGAUAACGUAGGGAAAUUUACGCUAAUACCGCAUACGACCUACCGGUGAAAGCAGGGGACCUUCCGAGCUUGCGUGAGUCAAUGAGCCGAUGUCGGAUUAGCGAGUUGGCGGGGUAAAGGCCCACCAAGGCGACGAUCCGUAGCUGGUCUGAGAGGAUGAUCAGCCACACUGGAACUGAGACACGGUCCAGACUCCUACGGGAGGCAGCAGUGGGGAAUAUUGGACAAUGGGCGCAAGCCUGAUCCAGCCAUACCGCGUGGGUGAAGAAGGCCUUCGGGUUGUGAAGCCCUUUUGUUGGGAAAGAAAUCCAGCUGGCUAAUACCCGGUUGGGAUGACGGUACCCAAAGAAUAAGCACCGGCUAACUUCGUGCCAGCAGCCGCCGCCG
RNAcentral lists this ribosomal RNA (506 nucleotides) under uncultured bacterium. Its description in RNAcentral is "partial 16S ribosomal RNA". It matches the Rfam family "Bacterial small subunit ribosomal RNA", at positions 29 to 523 of the family's 1533-position model. The record is from RNAcentral.